CUGGCGCGCUGGGCAGCCGCGGGACGCUCGUCGUCUCGAGGAAAGUCCGGACAUCACAGGGCAGGGUGGUCGGGAGACCGACCCGGGGAAACCCGCGGGAAAGUGCCACAGAAAUACACCGCCGAUGGCGCUUCGCGCACAGGCAAGGUUGAAAAGGUGCGGUAAGAGCGCACCGGCGUCGUGGUGACACGGCGGCCAGGUAAACCCCACCCGAUGCAAGACCGAGCAGAGCCGCUCGUAGGCGGCCCGCCGAGGCUCAGGUAGGUCGCAAAGAUGGAUGGUUGCCUCCGACAGAAUCCGGCUUACAGGCGCGCUACCACC
RNAcentral lists this RNase P RNA (321 nucleotides) under Solirubrobacteraceae bacterium. RNAcentral describes it as "Bacterial RNase P class A". It matches the Rfam family "Bacterial RNase P class A". Rfam says of the family: Ribonuclease P (RNase P) is a ubiquitous endoribonuclease, found in archaea, bacteria and eukarya as well as chloroplasts and mitochondria. Its best characterised activity is the generation of mature 5'-ends of tRNAs by cleaving the 5'-leader elements of precursor-tRNAs. Cellular RNase Ps are ribonucleoproteins. Lineage: Bacteria; Bacillati; Actinomycetota; Thermoleophilia; Solirubrobacterales; Solirubrobacteraceae. The record is from Rfam by way of RNAcentral.